UAUAAUGAAAAUCAAGUAUAGUUGUGCACUGGAGACAGAUUUUAAAAGUAGGAGUCAAAAAAGAAAAAAAGAUAAAUUACAAUGAAUAAUUAGGCAAGUAGAUCGAUAUUAAAAUAGUGGAAGUAAGUAGAGUAGAAGGUAGAUGAGACAGAGG
Molecule: long non-coding RNA, 154 nt
Organism: Pipistrellus kuhlii (Kuhl's pipistrelle)
Lineage: Eukaryota; Metazoa; Chordata; Mammalia; Chiroptera; Vespertilionidae
Exons: 3
Source: RefSeq, a predicted model, not a curated record